This 486-nucleotide ribosomal RNA is filed under the name uncultured bacterium. Its description in RNAcentral is "SSU rRNA". It matches the Rfam family "Bacterial small subunit ribosomal RNA", at positions 26 to 518 of the family's 1533-position model. The record is from RNAcentral.
AGAACGAACGUUGGCGGCGUGGAUUAGGCAUGCAAGUCGAACGAAUCCCCUGGGGGUAACUCUGGGGGGGAAGUGGCGAAAGGGGCAGUAAGGCGUGGGUAACCUACCCCGGGGACUGGGAUAGCCUUCCUAACGGAUGGGUAAUACCAGGCGAUUUGACGAGGGGGCAUCUCCUUGUCAGGAAACGAAUUUCGCCUCGGGAGGGGCUCACGUGAUAUUAGCUAGUUGGCGGGGUAACGGCCCACCAAGGCGAAGAUGUCUAGCGGGUGUGAGAGCACGACCCGCGCCACUGGCACUGAGACACUGGCCAGACACCUACGGGUGGCUGCAGUCGAGGAUCUUCGGCAAUGGGCGCAAGCCUGACCGAGCGACGCCGCGUGUGCGAUGAAGGCCUUCGGGUUGUAAAGCACUGUCGAGGGGGAGGAAGGCCGCAAGGCUUGACCUAUCCCUGGAGGAAGCACGGGCUAAGUUCGUGCCAGCAGCCGC